Anas platyrhynchos (mallard) is the source of this 1354-nucleotide non-coding RNA. NCBI's taxonomy places the organism in Eukaryota, Metazoa, Chordata, Aves, Anseriformes, Anatidae. The record is from RefSeq and is a predicted model, not a curated record.
CUGUUCUUCUUGAUACAGCUCACAGUGUGUCUUGAUCUCCUCUGGGCCUUCCACAAGAUCUGUAAUGUUAAGCUCUGGGGAGUUGUUUAUCACUUGAGAGAGAUAAUAUAUCACUGCAUGGCUAUGGGAAUCAUGUUGUUGUCUUCUCCUGUGCUGGAGCACCUGGCAUAUAUUUGGAUUUUUUUUUAGGUGAACGUUAUUUUUUAAUGAAACCCUGAAGUGUCAAGCUGUGUCAGACAUGUUCAGAAUUCCUGAGUUCUUCUUUUUGAAGCUGACCUUGGAGAAAAUCAAUGCAAGGAGUAUUUUUCUCAUCCGAUAUCUUCGUGGCUCUCUCUAAAACGAUUAGCUGGAGGCUAUUUGCUCGGGCCCCAGCCCUUGGGCUUGCUGGGACAAUCGCUCAGAGGUUCAGAUUUAGAAACCAAUGAAUGUCAAGCUGCGCCUCUGAACUCGGCUUCCUUUCAGAUGAGCCGGGGUGACCCGCAGCCAGCUGUAAAGAGGAGUGCAGUGACCACCCCCCUGCCUUUUGGAAAGGAGAAUAUUUCCCAAAGCACUGGCAGUGCUCCUGACUUCCUCCUCUGCGGGCUCUGGAUGCGAUUUGCGUGCUCCAAGUUUAUUCCUGAGGAGAUGUCCGUCCAGCCUGGUGUGCAGGCAUGGGGAAGUGCUGAAGUGUUGGGGGGGGGUGGGGAAUAUUGCUAAAAAAUCUGUUUUGCUAUUAAAAACACAGCUGGUAAAAACAGCCUCGCCUGGUCAUUUGCAGGGCUGGCUGCCUGACCAGAGCCCUCUGUUGCAGCCGGCCCCUGAUAAGACGCGGCCGCCCCUUGGGAAAGUUCCCUUCCGAGUCCCUGUGCCUGGGAAAGCUGCUCUCAAGCUGGGGGGGGAGGCGGCUUGAAUCGAUGCACGGAGUCAGCGGCCCCGCUGAGGGGGCUUUUUCUCUCUCCUCAAGAACAGACCGCUCACAAAGCCAGAUGGUUCCCGUCUGCUGGCUGUAUUCAAUGCACUUCCUCCCACAGACGGGAGCCCUUUUGCCCUCCUCCCACCCCCCCCUUUCAAGCAUCCACCACGGGGCCUUUCUGUUCUGCGGCUGGAAAUAAUCUUUUAUUGCCCAGUUGUUCGGAAGUGACCUUUUGCCCUUGAUUAGAUAGCACCAGGCUCUAUCGCCGGAUUGCUUUUGAGCUGGCAGUUGCUUUUUUGUGUUGGCUGAUCCGGUGUCAGGGAGAACAAUGCAGGGCUUUGCAAAAUUUCAGGCCGCAUGGGGGCUGGCUGGGGGCAGGGAGGCACGGCGUGCUAUAGAGCAGCUUUCUGGACCGUGAUUAAUUAUAGGAAAACAUUUCCGUUAAUAAACUGCAAAAACAAA